GACGAACGCUGGCGGCGUGCUUAACACAUGCAAGUCGAACGGAAAGGCCCUGCUUUUGUGGGGUGCUCGAGUGGCGAACGGGUGAGUAACACGUGAGUAACCUGCCCUUGACUUUGGGAUAACUUCAGGAAACUGGGGCUAAUACCGGAUAGGAGCUCCUGCUGCAUGGUGGGGGUUGGAAAGUUUCGGCGGUUGGGGAUGGACUCGCGGCUUAUCAGCUUGUUGGUGGGGUAGUGGCUUACCAAGGCUUUGACGGGUAGCCGGCCUGAGAGGGUGACCGGCGACAUUGGGACGGAGAGACGGAGCAGACUCCUACAGGAGGCAGCAGGGGGGAAUAUUGCACAGUGGGCGGAAGCCUGAUGCAACAACGCCGCGUGCGGGAUGACGGCCUUCGGGUUGUAAACCGCUUUCGCCUGUGACGAAGCGUGAGUGACGGUAAUGGGUAAAGAAGCACCGGCUAACUACGUG
Molecule: ribosomal RNA, 468 nt
Filed under: uncultured bacterium
Lineage: Bacteria
Description: partial 16S ribosomal RNA
Rfam family: Bacterial small subunit ribosomal RNA
Source: RNAcentral